UAAAGAGUUCUAUAACUCCCAAACCCAUGUGAACAUACCUAACGUUGCCUCGGCAGGUCGCACCUACCUUGUAGCACCCUACCCUGUAGGGCCUACCCGGGAGGUGCGGGUAAGCCUGCCGGCGGCCCACCAAACUCUGUUUGAUAUUGAAUUCUGAACCUAUAACUAAAUAAGUUAAAACUUUCAACAACGGAUCUCUUGGUUCUGGCAUCGAUGAAGAACGCAGCGAAAUGCGAUAAGUAAUGUGAAUUGCAGAAUUCAGUGAAUCAUCGAAUCUUUGAACGCAUAUUGCGCCCAUUAGUAUUCUAGUGGGCAGGACCGUUCGAGCGUCAUUUCAACCCUUAAGCCUUCGUUGCUUAGUGUUGGGAGCCUACGGCAACGUAGCUCCUCAAAGUUAGUGGCGGAGUUGGUUCACACUCUAGACGUAGUAAUUUUUUAUCUCGCCUAUUAGUUGGACUAAUCCCCUGCCGUAAAACCCCCAAUUUAUCAAGGUUGACCUCGAAUCGGUUCAGACAAACUCGCUAAAUUGAAGCAUCUUAGUCAGCGAAGGAAAAGAAACCAACAGGGAUUGCCCUAGUAACGGCGAGUGAAGCGGCAACAGCUC
This 604-nucleotide ribosomal RNA is filed under the name fungal endophyte. RNAcentral's name for it is "eukaryotic LSU rRNA". The stretch from base 179 to 332 matches the Rfam family "5.8S ribosomal RNA". Lineage: Eukaryota; Fungi. The record is from RNAcentral.